GACGAACGCUGGCGGCGUGCUUAACACAUGCAAGUCGAACGGAAAGGCCCUGCUUUUGUGGGGUGCUCGAGUGGCGAACGGGUGAGUAACACGUGAGUAACCUGCCCUUGACUUUGGGAUAACUUCAGGAAACUGGGGCUAAUACCGGAUAGGAGCUCCUGCUGCAUGGUGGGGGUUGGAAAGUUUCGGCGGUUGGGGAUGGACUCGCGGCUUAUCAGCUUGUUGGUGGGGUAGUGGCUUACCAAGGCUUUGACGGGUAGCCGGCCUGAGAGGGUGACCGGCCACAUUGGGCCUGAGCUACGGCCCAGACUCCUACGGGAGGCAGCAGUGGGGAAUAUUGCACAAUGGGCGGAAGCCUGAUGCAGCAACGCCGCGUGCGGGAUGACGGCCUUCGGGUUGUAAACCGCUUUCGCCUGUGACGAAGCGUGAGUGACGGUACUGGGUAAAGAAGCACCGGCUACCUACGU
RNAcentral lists this ribosomal RNA (467 nucleotides) under uncultured bacterium. Its description in RNAcentral is "partial 16S ribosomal RNA". It matches the Rfam family "Bacterial small subunit ribosomal RNA", at positions 28 to 506 of the family's 1533-position model. The record is from RNAcentral.